This 24-nucleotide non-coding RNA is filed under the name Mus musculus (house mouse). Lineage: Eukaryota; Metazoa; Chordata; Mammalia; Rodentia; Muridae. The record is from RNAcentral.
UGACUUUUAAUUGGAUAUGUUAGU